RNAcentral lists this ribosomal RNA (757 nucleotides) under Shigella dysenteriae. Its description in RNAcentral is "bacterial SSU rRNA". It matches the Rfam family "Bacterial small subunit ribosomal RNA", at positions 56 to 804 of the family's 1533-position model. Lineage: Bacteria; Pseudomonadati; Pseudomonadota; Gammaproteobacteria; Enterobacterales; Enterobacteriaceae. The record is from RNAcentral.
UGCAGUCGAGCGGUAGCACAGAGAGCUUGCUCUCGGGUGACGAGCGGCGGACGGGUGAGUAAUGUCUGGGAAACUGCCUGAUGGAGGGGGAUAACUACUGGAAACGGUAGCUAAUACCGCAUAACGUCGCAAGACCAAAGUGGGGGACCUUCGGGCCUCAUGCCAUCAGAUGUGCCCAGAUGGGAUUAGCUAGUAGGUGGGGUAACGGCUCACCUAGGCGACGAUCCCUAGCUGGUCUGAGAGGAUGACCAGCCACACUGGAACUGAGACACGGUCCAGACUCCUACGGGAGGCAGCAGUGGGGAAUAUUGCACAAUGGGCGCAAGCCUGAUGCAGCCAUGCCGCGUGUAUGAAGAAGGCCUUCGGGUUGUAAAGUACUUUCAGCGGGGAGGAAGGCGAUAAGGUUAAUAACCUUGUCGAUUGACGUUACCCGCAGAAGAAGCACCGGCUAACUCCGUGCCAGCAGCCGCGGUAAUACGGAGGGUGCAAGCGUUAAUCGGAAUUACUGGGCGUAAAGCGCACGCAGGCGGUCUGUCAAGUCGGAUGUGAAAUCCCCGGGCUCAACCUGGGAACUGCAUUCGAAACUGGCAGGCUAGAGUCUUGUAGAGGGGGGUAGAAUUCCAGGUGUAGCGGUGAAAUGCGUAGAGAUCUGGAGGAAUACCGGUGGCGAAUGCGGCUCCCUGCACAAAGACUGACGCUCAGGUGCGAAAGCGUGGAGGAGCAAACACGAUUAGAUACCCUGGUAGUCCACGCCGUA